Paramuricea clavata is the source of this 880-nucleotide non-coding RNA. The record is from the annotation of a GenBank genome assembly. NCBI's taxonomy places the organism in Eukaryota, Metazoa, Cnidaria, Anthozoa, Malacalcyonacea, Plexauridae.
UAUAUAUACUCACUUGGAUUACAAACCCUGACAUUGUAAUGUUAUAGUUCAACACAUCAAUCUAUCUCGACGCAGAACGUGUCGUUUGGAUGCGCAGUGGACACUCUGAAUACCAUUCUUGGAUCAACAUCGUACCCAGGGCUUCUGCGCAACGGCUCUGGGUAUACGAGGUUGUACAUUGAUCAUUCCCCUUAUUACGUUUUCGUAGCGCUUUGCAUUGUGGUUAUAGUGGUAUCACUGAUAAAGAUAGCGGCCUCGAAUGAAAAUAUUGAAUGUUUUCGCGAAUAUUUUGCUGUUGGCUAUCGCGCACCUGACCCUAGCUUUUUUUAAAAGUUCUUGCACUGGUCAGGACAAAAAAUAAGCCAUCUUGAAUAUCAGUGAUACCACUAUAACCACAAUGCAAAGCGCUGCGAAAACGUAAUAAGGGGAAUCUAGUAUUGGAUACCAACGUUAUUAAACAAGCGCACUACAUAGUGUCUAAAAAGUGAACCUUUAGAAAUUGCCUUAUUAGAGACGGACAAGUGGUCCCUCUUUUAAUCGUAAUCACAGACGGACAAUUAAGUAGUCGAACAACUUCAGAUGACUAGUUGUUCGUCUAAAAUUUUGUCCGACACGUUUUCACAUCUGAUGAUUUGUCCGACUAAGAGACGAUUUUAAGACGAUUUGUUCGUCUAAACAAAAACGACUUGUCCGUCUUUUAAUGUGACAACGGCUAAUUGCUGUUUUCGAAUUUAAUUCGUUGAAGGCCAUUACAUAAAGUAACGGAGUGUCAACUUAGCUACCACGAUAAUCGUCUUUCCAUUCACAGUUGAGCACCUACACGCGUAAAAAUCUCAUUUGCCAACGAAGAUGUGUUCGCACUGCUUGUUCCCAGUUGUUG